Molecule: ribosomal RNA, 114 nt
Filed under: Amphiprion percula (orange clownfish)
Lineage: Eukaryota; Metazoa; Chordata; Actinopteri; Pomacentridae
Source: RNAcentral
GUUUGUUCUGAGACUGAAUACACCUGAUCUCAUCUGAUCUGCAAAGCUAAGCAGGGUUGGGCCUGGUUAGUAUUUGGAUGGGAGACUACCUGGGAAUACCAGGUGCUGUAAGCU